This 162-nucleotide non-coding RNA is filed under the name Chlorocebus sabaeus (green monkey). The record is from Rfam by way of RNAcentral. Lineage: Eukaryota; Metazoa; Chordata; Mammalia; Primates; Cercopithecidae.
GCCAGGCAUGGUGGCGCAUGCCUGUAGUCCCAGCUACUCAGGAGGCUGAGGCAGGGGAAUCGCUUGAACCCGGGAGACGGGGGCAGAGGUUGCAGGGAGCCAAGAUCGUGCCACUGCACUCUAGCCCUCUAGCCUGGGCGACAGAGUGACACUCUGUCUCAA